UUUCUAACUACCGAUCAUCCAAGCAUAUCCGCUAAACUUUGACCACAUAGAUGAAUAAGAAUAAAAUUUCUCGGUGGAUUAUACAUCUGCCAAACUCUGAUCAAGUGUUUGUUGUUCAUAUUUUACUAUUAUACAUGUUUUUUAGUUUAUCUGACCAUCCAACACUGAACACAUGGUUAAAAUUAAUAUACUCAAGCAUUUCUAUACAAAGCUUGAAGAAAGAGAAGAACAUGACAAGUAAAGUAUCCAUCAAAGAUUGUAUGUAUGGAUGAUGGCAAGUAUGUUGACUAACUCGGUGUUAUUAACUUUCAUAAGUACUACGAUGAACUAGUGCUUAUGGUAAAAUGGACAAGUGUUUAUGGCCGAAUCCAAAUGGAUGAUCUGAAAGAGUUUAGAGAACCUUAAAUCCAUUAUGGUGUUGCUGGUUGUGAUGGUGUCCCAAGCCUGCAACAAGUCUUGAUGAUUUUCAAUUAGCCGACAAUACAUAUGGUCUUCACCAAACACAUACAAUUACCCAAUUUAUAAUAGACAUUGCUUCUCUUGUUUGUCCAAGAAUCAAGAACAACCUUUUUAAAUAAAUUAGAAACUUUUGAGUUUUUACAUGUCAAAAAACAUAAUUAUUGUGAACAUAUUAGAUAAUGGAUAUGAACGAAAGAAUAGUUAAAAGAAAUAAUACAUAACGCACCCAUAUGGUAGACAUAACGUAUCCAUAUGGAACUGACCAAUCUUAUCAUAUGCCCAUUUAAAGCUUACCAAUCCAAUUCAAACGUAUGGACACAAGUUUAUACAUGAAAAAUAAUCGCCAAUUUAAAUUUACAUCGUUCAUUUUUUUUGACCAUUUAUUCUCUUCUGUAUGUCCUAUUAUUAUAUAUCUGCCAAACUCUGAUCGAGUGUUUGUUGUAACAACACCAAUCACGUCGUGGUGUGUAAGUAACUUCGUUUAAAUGAAUAACACUAAACCCUUACAUCUACCUUAUAAAUCCAAACCGAUAUGCUAUUUUAAAAAAAUUUAUAACACUAAACCCUAACUCCUACCUUAUAAACCCAAACUAAUAUGUAAAUUUGUUUAAAUUUAUAACACUAAACUCUAACUCCCUUCCCUAAAACCAUCACCCAUCAAUACAAUAAUAACACCUUGUUUCUCUCCAGGAUUGACACCUCAGAUUUUUCAGAUGUUCUCAGCUUGACAAAUCAGUAAAAAUCAGCACUUCAAUAUUCCACGUCACCUUGGAGACCCAGAAUCCCUAGCCGCUCUAGAAAACAAAAAGCUUUCAACUUGUUUCUCGAAUCGGUGGUUUCUCAAAUCGAAGAUUAAAGAUGAUGAAGAAGAAGAAUUCGAUCACAUGACAUUGAUCGAGAACACACUUAGUUCUAUAUGUAAUUUCUCCAACGACAUCAUCUCUGGCAAGAUAAAGCCACCAUCUUCUCCUGAGUGAGUGUCAUUUUACUCGGAUACUUUCUGUAGGCAUCCUCCGUUGAAGGUUUUGGAAUCUCACCGUCUUUACAAUGCUUGCUUGCUUAAUAUCUGUUUCUUCCAAUGAGGAGCAGGCUGGAACUUGUUAUUUUUUCUUUGCGGUGUAUUCCGAGGAAAAAGGGAGAGACGUCAAGUGUUUGAUGAUGACGUAAAUUUCUUGGCAUAAGUGAAAUCUGGAAAUUUGAGAUCAGAUUAUGGAAAUGCCUAUUUCAUCACAGGUAUUUGACUCUCUGUUCUUCAUUACCUCGGAAUGGGAUUCUAAGAGUACAAGAACUAUAAAGUGAAAUUGUUCCUCUAUUUUGGCAGAGAUUCAUUAUAGCUAAACUCAUAAAGCUUUCCCAUUAUUCAAACUAAGCUCAUACACUAACUGUUUGAACUUGAAUGCUUAGCAAUCUUCACUUCUGCUUUUACUCGGAUGAUUGCAUCUUCGAGGACCUGACUUAUCAGCUUUGAAGGUACAGAGUUGUACUAACAUGACUUGAGGUUACGGGUUCGGUGGUUUCUGUUCCACAAAGAUGCAUCAUCCAUUGUACUGCAAAAUAUUGAGAAGGAUUGAGAAAGUUUCAGAAGAACAUCACAAUGGAAGAGUGAAGGUGAUGAGAGAGAGCCAUGGAAUCUCCAUUUUGUUUUAUAGGCAAAUGUUUUCUCAGGGUGUAUGCAAGUAUAUUAGCUUCAUGUGUACUAUGGUUCUUUUGAGUAAUAAUAAUAUUCAUCAAGUAAAACGAUUAAAUUU
Molecule: long non-coding RNA, 2207 nt
Organism: Arabidopsis lyrata subsp. lyrata
Lineage: Eukaryota; Viridiplantae; Streptophyta; Magnoliopsida; Brassicales; Brassicaceae
Exons: 5
Source: RefSeq, a predicted model, not a curated record